AACGAACGCUGGCGGCAGGCUUAACACAUGCAAGUCGAACGGGUGUAGCAAUACAUCAGUGGCAGACGGGUGAGUAACACGUGGGAACCUUCCUAGGGGUACGGAACAACUCAGGGAAACUUGAGCUAAUACCGUAUACGUCCGUGAGGAGAAAGAUUUAUCGCCCUUAGACGGGCCCGCGUCGGAUUAGCUAGUUGGUGGGGUAACGGCCUACCAAGGCGACGAUCCGUAGCUGAUCUUAGAGGAUGAUCAGCCACACUGGGACUGAGACACGGCCCAGACUCCUACGGGAGGCAGCAGUGGGGAAUCUUGGACAAUGGGCGCAAGCCUGAGCCAGCCAUGCCGCGUGAGCGAAGAAGGUCUUCGGAUUGUAAAGCUCUUUUGCCAGGGACGAUAAUGACGGUACCUGGAGAAUAAGCCCCGGCAAACUUCGUGCCAGCCGCCGCAGUAA
RNAcentral lists this ribosomal RNA (451 nucleotides) under uncultured bacterium. RNAcentral describes it as "partial 16S ribosomal RNA". It matches the Rfam family "Bacterial small subunit ribosomal RNA", at positions 29 to 523 of the family's 1533-position model. The record is from RNAcentral.